This 386-nucleotide ribosomal RNA is filed under the name uncultured bacterium. RNAcentral's name for it is "bacterial SSU rRNA". It matches the Rfam family "Bacterial small subunit ribosomal RNA", at positions 28 to 416 of the family's 1533-position model. The record is from RNAcentral.
GACGAACGCUGGCGGCGUGCUUAACACAUGCAAGUCGAGCGGUAAGGCCCUUUCGGGGGUACACGAGCGGCGAACGGGUGAGUAACACGUGGGUGACCUGCCCUUAGCUCUGGGAUAAGCCCGGGAAACUGGGUCUAAUACCGGAUAUGACUCCAUGACGCAUGUUGUGGGGUGGAAAGCCUUGUGCGGCUGAGGAUGGGCCCGCGGCCUAUCAGCUUGUUGGUGGGGUGAUGGCCACCAAGGCGACGACGGGUAGCCGGCCUGAGAGGGCGACCGGCCACACUGGGACUGAGAUACGGCCCAGACUCCUACGGGAGGCAGCAGUGGGGAAUCUUGCGCAAUGGGCGAAAGCCUGACGCAGCGACGCCGCGUGAGGGAUGACAGCC